UGAUGGCCUACCAAGGCGACGACGGGUAGCCGGCCUGAGAGGGCGGCCGGCCACACUGGGACUGAGACACGGCCCAGACUCCUACGGGAGGCAGCAGUGGGGAAUAUUGCACAAUGGGCGGAAGCCUGAUGCAGCGACGCCGCGUGAGGGAUGACGGCCUUCGGGUUGUAAACCUCUUUCAGCAGGGAAGAAGCCUUUAAAAGUGACGGUACCUGCAGAAGAAGCACCGGCUAACUACGUGCCAGCAGCCGCGGUAAUACGUAGGGUGCGAGCGUUGUCCGGAAUUAUUGGGCGUAAAGAGCUCGUAGGCGGCUUGUCACGUCGGAUGUGAAAGCCCGGGGCUUAACCCUGGGUCUGCAUUCGAUACGGGCAGGCUGGAGUUCGGUAGGGGAGAUCGGAAUUCCUGGUGUAGCGGUGAAAUGCGCAGAUAUCAGGAGGAACACCGGUGGCGAAGGCGGAUCUCUGGGCCGAUACUGACGCUGAGGAGCGAAAGCAUGGGGAGCGAACAGGAUUAGAUACCCUGGUAGUCCAUGCCGUAAACGUUGGGCACUAGGUGUGGGCGACAUUCCACGUUGUCCGUGCCGCAGCUAACGCAUUAAGUG
Molecule: ribosomal RNA, 602 nt
Filed under: uncultured bacterium
Lineage: Bacteria
Description: bacterial SSU rRNA
Rfam family: Bacterial small subunit ribosomal RNA
Source: RNAcentral